AAAAGAAGGCGGGACUUCAAGCAAGGUGUUUCAGGCAGAGUGAGUGAGUUUCUGUGGGGGAAAGUAGCUCCCUUUGGCGUGAGCUUUGUAACUUUGCAGAUCUUUUACAUGCACAAAAAACUAUAUAACACACUAAAGGAAAGGG
Sebastes umbrosus (honeycomb rockfish) is the source of this 145-nucleotide long non-coding RNA. RefSeq lists it as uncharacterized. The record is from RefSeq and is a predicted model, not a curated record. Lineage: Eukaryota; Metazoa; Chordata; Actinopteri; Perciformes; Sebastidae. The transcript has 2 exons.